This 395-nucleotide unclassified non-coding RNA is filed under the name soil metagenome. RNAcentral describes it as "partial contains 5.8S ribosomal RNA, internal transcribed spacer 2, and large subunit ribosomal RNA". The stretch from base 1 to 120 matches the Rfam family "5.8S ribosomal RNA", at positions 35 to 154 of the family's 154-position model. The record is from RNAcentral.
GAUGAAGAACGUAGCGAAAUGCGAUAAGUAAUGUGAAUUGCAGAAUUCAGUGAAUCAUCGAAUCUUUGAACGCAUCUUGCGCUCCUUGGUAUUCCGAGGAGCAUGCCUGUUUGAGUGUCAUUUUAACUUCUCAACCAUAUCGAAUUGUUUUUCGAGGUGGCUUGGACAUGUGGGUUUUUGCAGGCUUUAAUAAUGAAGUCGGCUCCUCUGAAAUGCAUUAGUGGUAUCUGAAGCAGAACUGCUACUAUUAGGUGUGAUAAUUAUCUAUGCCUCUUGGUAUACUGCAUGAACAGAUUGCGCUGCUUCCAACUUGUCCACCCUUUGGUGUUUGACAAAUUUGACCUCAAAUCAGGUAGGACUACCCGCUGAACUUAAGCAUAUCAAUAAGCGGAGGA